Pseudophryne corroboree (corroboree frog) is the source of this 1100-nucleotide long non-coding RNA. RefSeq lists it as uncharacterized. The record is from RefSeq and is a predicted model, not a curated record. The transcript has 3 exons. Lineage: Eukaryota; Metazoa; Chordata; Amphibia; Anura; Myobatrachidae.
UAUCGCUUAUCGACUCGCGACAUAUAUUCGCUGUACGCUCUGUUGGAGGCCGACCUGGAACCUCGGGCACGGACAAAUCGUGCAGUCAGCGGUUUCCAGAAACUGCUGGCGACGUUACAUUUUUUGGCGUCAGGCACAUUCCAGCCUACACUGUCUCAAACAUGCGGUUUUUCACAGUCGACACUGUCGCGCUGUAUAACCCAGGUCAUUAGGGCUUUCCGCAAAUUGACGAUCCAGUACAUCACAUUUCCAGAGACGGACAGCGAAUGUCGUGAGAUCAAAUUAGGCUUUUUCAACAAAUACAAAUUUCCCAAUGUGCUGGGCGCGAUUGACUGUACCCACGUGCAGAUCAGACCGCCACGGAAUUCGGAGGAAUGUUUUCGGAACCGAAAACAUUUCCAUUCCCUGAAUGUACAGGCGGUCUGUGAUGUCAACAUGAGAUUUUUGAACAUUUUUGUGGGAUUUCCUGGAUCAUCUCACGACUCCUUCAUCCUAAGCCAGUCAUCGCUGUUUGACAAGUUCGAAACAGGAAACAUGCCUGGUGGCUGGCUGUUAGGCGAUGCGGGUUAUCCAAACAAACCGUGGCUCUUGACCCCAUUGUCUAAUCCUGUUGGUAGAGCAGAAAAACGUUACCAAGAGACACACAUUGCAUCGAGGCAAAUAAUUGAGCGUGCUUUCGGUGUACUUAAAAGCCGGUUUCGAUGUUUAGACACUUCCGGCGGUGCUCUUUUGUACUCACCGGCGAAGGUUUGCGGCAUGGUAAAUGCAUGUUGUAUUUUACACAACAUAUGUGUCGCAAACCGUUUGCCGGUGACUCUUCGUCGCAGUGCUUUCCGACGCGGGAACCGGUCUUCUGCUCUACCGGUGGGUAUGGACGAAGGAGAUGAUUCCCGGCGGACAUUGAUCCAAAAAAUUUUUUCAGUUGCCUAGUUUUACAUCCUGUUGAUGUACAUCCCCAGGCCAUGUUUGUACAGUUCGUUCCUCCCUGUUUUAUCCUGUUGUUGGGUUACCGCAAAUAUUUGACCCUUUUAUCCAACUCUACCAUGGGCGACCUACUUGUGAUGUGGACCUGACCCUCCGCCAUGUAGCAGACAACCCCC